UUUUUUGAAACAAUAUCUCACAAUGUUGCCCAGGCUGACUUGACCUUCUAGGCUCAAAUGAUCCUUUCACCUCAGCCUCUCAAGUAGCUGAGAUGAUUACAGGUGUACUCCACCAUACCUGGCUUAUACACAGUAUUUCCAAAGGUUUCAGCCAACAAGCGUUGCUGGUUUCAAGCACAUUUGUGCCCACUGCCCACCACAUGCUCAUCCAGUAGACUAGUGGGACAUUCCCCACAUUAUAUGAAUUCUCUUUCUCCUUCUGUGAAGGAAGGACAUAUGAUAGAAUUCUUGCAAGUUAAACAUGUAUAUGCUAUGGACUCCACUGUGAAGUAUGUAAACCAUUUAGCAGAGGGUUGAGUAAGCCCUCAUAAGAAAGACCUUCAAGGCAUAUCCGAGGGAUGCCAAAACUCCCCAAAUCUAAGCUGCUUUUGUGGUUAAGCUGAGAGAGAAGAACAGUGUGCCACGAGGUUGGAACCUGGCUGCCAACUCUGGCAGUGGUUCCAUUUUAAUGACUUUUCCACAGUCAUUGUUCCGGAAGUCCGCCCAGGCCUUCCCCCAAGCCUCUCAUCUGAUGCAGAAAUCACGAUUGUCAUGCCAGACGUCUUUAUUUUUGUUUACUCUUUGGUAAGUUCCUCAGUGAUGUCUUUUUUUUUUUUUGAGAUGGAGUCUUGCUCUGUUGCUCAGGCUGGAGUGCUCAACUCAACAACUUAAAUGUCCAUCAGUAGAGGAGUGUUUAGGAAAAUUAGAGUAUGUUCUCAUAUUAGAAUUCUAUUCAGUCAUUAAAAAGAACAAAGUAGAGCUGUUUGUUCUAAUAUGGAACACGCUCUGAGAUAUAAUGUUAAGUAGAACAAAUGUAUAACAGGUACAUUGAUCUUACCAUUUAUGUAAAAAGAAAAAGGAGCUAUGGUGGUAAGUACGUGUUGUAUUUGCAAAUUUUAAAUAUGCUUAUGUUUGCAUUGUAUAUCUCUGGAAAGAUACAUAAAAAAUGAUUGGCAGUAGUUGCCUCCAUGAGAGGGGAUCAAGGAUAGAAGAAAGACUUACUGUUCAUUAUAUAUUCUUAUGUACUAUUUAAUUUUUUUUACAUAUGCUUGUAUUAAAUCUUUGAAAAUCAUAAUAUAGAAGUUUAAUCACUAGGAAAAAUCCUGCAUUAAAGCAGAGUGUUGAACAAUAGAAUUCCUACUGCUUUUUGCUUCGCUUCUCUAGCAAGAGAGUUUUGCAAUUAUGAAGUAAAAUAGCCUGUAUUUGAGUUGGACUAUUUCCCACAUACUAUAAAGAGAAAUAUUUCAACAGUCUUUCAAAGACAAAGUAUAAAUCAGUUAAUGACAGUGCCUGGCUUGGAACUGAGAAUUACAAUGGUCAUGUUCAUGUAUAUUAAUCCAACAGAAAUUCUUACUUGAAACUAAAAAAAUGAAUGUGUAUAAAGGCUGAAGAGGCAAAUGGCUUUAUAAAAAUGACUUUAUAAAAAUAGCCUCAAAUUUUUAUAAGUAGCUGAGAUUAAGCCAAGUAUUUUAAAAACUAGGAGCCAGAAUUUAUAAUCAUAGAAAUCAGAAGUCAGUCUGCACCUGGGUAAUCAGAAUCAAGUGAGAUUUAAGUUUCUUUAUGGGGUGGGGGGAGUGACAGUUUGCACUGACCCUUCACUCAUUCUACAAGCUUUACUGAGGCCCUACCCCGUUGAUGCCCAGUGUGGUACAAGGGGCAAGGGGCACAAGUGGAGAUUUCACUGUUAUUUUCUUGCCCAGAAUUUGUUUCCCCCUUUCCUGGUGACAGCAUCUUGAUUGUCCUUUGGGAAACCACCAGUUCCUACUCU
Molecule: long non-coding RNA, 1807 nt
Organism: Macaca fascicularis (crab-eating macaque)
Lineage: Eukaryota; Metazoa; Chordata; Mammalia; Primates; Cercopithecidae
Source: Ensembl